AGCUCGGGGUGGAUUUUAGGGUGAAGUCAGAAGAGUUGAGUUGCUGUACCUGCUUCUCUCGAGCACUUCCAAAGAGAGCCAUCUGAUGAUUGAGAGCCCACUCAAGUGGAGAAAGCCCAGAGGUUAUAAAGGGGGUUUCAAGAGUUAGCGACCCAUUCUGUCGCUGGACAUCCCCUCUUCUUUAACAGAAAUGGUGAAUCGGGCAGGUCUCUUAAGGGUGUCACGACAUAUAGGGUAUUAGAAGACAAGGCGAAUAUGUUCUCAUCUACUUAGUGUUUGGAUUCUUGGCUUGCACGUCAUAUGAGGACAAAGAGAAAUGGAGAGAGGAGGGCAAGACAGAGAUUGGGAGACAAAGAUGCCUACAGACCUGCUUCACCUCCUGUGAACCGACUCUCCUGUGGUGGGGAGCCAGAAGCUGGAACCUGGAUUCUUAUGCUGGUCCUUGCACUUUGCGCCACCGCCACCUGUGCUUAAGCCGCUGCACUACUGCCGGACUCCUGUUUUGUAGGUUUACACAUUUACACAUGUGUGUUUGUUUUCUUGGAUCUGACUUCAGCAAAAAUAUGACCAAAUCUUCAAAAUAAUCUCUCAUUCUGAGUAAAUUAAAGCAGGAUGCCCAGCUUACUGUGUGUCCAGCUGACUGAAGGCUUAAACAGGAAAGGGACACAAGGA
Long non-coding RNA from Erinaceus europaeus (western European hedgehog), 672 nucleotides. RefSeq lists it as uncharacterized. The record is from RefSeq and is a predicted model, not a curated record. The transcript has 4 exons. NCBI's taxonomy places the organism in Eukaryota, Metazoa, Chordata, Mammalia, Eulipotyphla, Erinaceidae.